GAUGAACGCUGGCGGCGUGCCUAAUACAUGCAAGUAGAACGCUGAAGCUUGGUGCUUGCACCGAGCGGAUGAGUUGCGAACGGGUGAGUAACGCGUAGGUAACCUGCCUCUUAGCGGGGGAUAACUAUUGGAAACGAUAGCUAAUACCGCAUAAAAGACGAUAUCGCAUGAUAUUGAUUUGAAAGGUGCAAAUGCAUCACUAAGAGAUGGACCUGCGUUGUAUUAGCUAGUUGGUGAGGUAACGGCUCACCAAGGCAACGAUACAUAGCCGACCUGAGAGGGUGAUCGGCCACACUGGGACUGAGACACGGCCCAGACUCCUACGGGAGGCAGCAGUAGGGAAUCUUCGGCAAUGGGGGCAACCCUGACCGAGCAACGCCGCGUGAGUGAAGAAGGUUUUCGGAUCGUAAAGCUCUGUUGUAAGAGAAGAACGAGUGUGAGAGUGGAAAGUUCACACUGUGACGGUAACUUACCAGAAAGGGACGGCUAACUACGUGCCAGCAGCCGCGGUAAUACGUAGGUCCCGAGCGUUAUCCGGAUUUAUUGGGCGUAAAGCGAGCGCAGGCGGUUAGAUAAGUCUGAAGUUAAAGGCUGUGGCUUAACCAUAGUACGCUUUGGAAACUGUUUAACUUGAGUGCAAGAGGGGAGAGUGGAAUUCCAUGUGUAGCGGUGAAAUGCGUAGAUAUAUGGAGGAACACCGGUGGCGAAAGCGGCUCUCUGGCUUGUAACUGACGCUGAGGCUCGAAAGCGUGGGGAGCAAACAGG
This 765-nucleotide ribosomal RNA is filed under the name uncultured Streptococcus sp. RNAcentral describes it as "bacterial SSU rRNA". It matches the Rfam family "Bacterial small subunit ribosomal RNA", at positions 28 to 776 of the family's 1533-position model. Lineage: Bacteria; Bacillati; Bacillota; Bacilli; Lactobacillales; Streptococcaceae. The record is from RNAcentral.